RNAcentral lists this ribosomal RNA (711 nucleotides) under Streptomyces sp. HVAB4. Its description in RNAcentral is "bacterial SSU rRNA". It matches the Rfam family "Bacterial small subunit ribosomal RNA", at positions 151 to 874 of the family's 1533-position model. Lineage: Bacteria; Bacillati; Actinomycetota; Actinomycetes; Kitasatosporales; Streptomycetaceae. The record is from RNAcentral.
UGGAAACGGGGUCUAAUACCGGAUAACACUCCUGCCUGCAUGGGUGGGGGUUAAAAGCUCCGGCGGUGAAGGAUGAGCCCGCGGCCUAUCAGCUUGUUGGUGAGGUAGUGGCUCACCAAGGCGACGACGGGUAGCCGGCCUGAGAGGGCGACCGGCCACACUGGGACUGAGACACGGCCCAGACUCCUACGGGAGGCAGCAGUGGGGAAUAUUGCACAAUGGGCGAAAGCCUGAUGCAGCGACGCCGCGUGAGGGAUGACGGCCUUCGGGUUGUAAACCUCUUUCAGCAGGGAAGAAGCGAAAGUGACGGUACCUGCAGAAGAAGCGCCGGCUAACUACGUGCCAGCAGCCGCGGUAAUACGUAGGGCGCAAGCGUUGUCCGGAAUUAUUGGGCGUAAAGAGCUCGUAGGCGGCUUGUCACGUCGGUUGUGAAAGCCCGGGGCUUAACCCCGGGUCUGCAGUCGAUACGGGCAGGCUAGAGUGUGGUAGGGGAGAUCGGAAUUCCUGGUGUAGCGGUGAAAUGCGCAGAUAUCAGGAGGAACACCGGUGGCGAAGGCGGAUCUCUGGGCCAUUACUGACGCUGAGGAGCGAAAGCGUGGGGAGCGAACAGGAUUAGAUACCCUGGUAGUCCACGCCGUAAACGGUGGGAACUAGGUGUUGGCGACAUUCCACGUCGUCGGUGCCGCAGCUAACGCAUUAAGUUCCCCGCCU